Molecule: long non-coding RNA, 1177 nt
Organism: Anneissia japonica
Lineage: Eukaryota; Metazoa; Echinodermata; Crinoidea; Comatulida; Comatulidae
Exons: 3
Source: RefSeq, a predicted model, not a curated record
CAAUAAACAAAACCACAUGUGUAGGAGAAACGAAUAGGAUAUACUAAGUGCUGAGAGACACUUUACAAUAUGUAACGCAAGAUAUUAACGUAUUUGUCAGCUUGGUAUAAACGCAAAACCUCAGCACUACUGGAUUUCUUGUUUUCUUUUAAUAAUUUGAAUGUUGUUAUCAAGAUAUGAAGAGAAGAGUUGACUGAAAGAUACAAGAAACUAAUGUCUUAACCAACAUUCAACCAUAAUGAAAUAUAUAUUUUAUAUUAUAUAAUGAUAAAAAAUGACGUCAUCACUCUGUACCCAUCUGCAAGAAGCCAAGAUGCUUUUCAGAUUUAUUUUAACGUAAUCUAAGUAUUAGAAACGUAAUCAAAGUAUUAGAAACGUGUCAGUAAUGUUAACAUAUGAAUACAAUAUCUUUAACAGUAAUUCAAAUACUGUACGUAAUUGAUUGAUGAAUUAGAUAGGCCUAUGGUAUAUGUAUUGUAUUAAUAAAUUUAUUCUGUAUGCCGGCAAAGAAUGGUACAGAGACUAGAAGACUAGAGGUACAGGUAAGUGGGUUGGUUAUUUACUCAAAGAUCUUAUAACAAAAUAGCGCUCUCACCUAUUUGUAAGCGUAAUGCAUGAAAGACUCGUAAAACUGCACCUUCUGCAAAAAAUAAUACAAAGCAAAACUUAUUUACUGUGCUGAAUUUUAUAAAUGGCGCUCCCUCCAAAACCUACACGUACUCGUAAUGCACAGAAAAUUUUUACGGAACUGGGGAUAAAAAGCCAAAUUUGUUUUACUGAAUGUUUUGUAGCACUCCUCCAAAAAAAGAAAAAUGCUAAGGCAAAUUCUUUUACUGAAUUUUAUAUAGAGCUCAUUACAAAAACCUUAUUUGUACACAUGCAAUAAAAACUUUCAUCCCAAUUUGUUAACUACUGGCAAACUUUAAAGGAACUGCACCCUGUGCAAAGAAAAGUAUGUGCAGCCAAUUUUGUUUACUAAAUUAAGAUAUGGUUCCUCCAAUAAUCUGUUAGUUGCAUAAUUCAUUGAAAAUUUCAUGAGACCAAAAAAUUGUUAUUUUAUAUAGGUCUCCCUCCAAAACUUAUUUGUACGGAUAAUGAAAUCAGACCUGCACAUUGCAAAAAUACUAUUGCGAGUUUGUUACAAGAUCUUUGAGCUACAUUGCAUUAGGUGCCCCCA